GACGAACGCUGGCGGCGUGCUUAACACAUGCAAGUCGAACGGAAAGGCCCUGCUUUUGUGGGGUGCUCGAGUGGCGAACGGGUGAGUAACGCGUGAGUAACCUGCCCUUGACUUUGGGAUAACUUCAGGAAACUGGGGCUAAUACCGGAUAGGAGCUCCUGCUGCAUGGUGGGGGUUGGAAAGUUUCGGCGGUUGGGGAUGGACUCGCGGCUUAUCAGCUUGUUGGUGGGGUAGUGGCUUACCAAGGCUUUGACGGGUAGCCGGCCUGAGAGGGUGACCGACCACAUUGGGACUGAGAUACGGCCCAGACUCCUACGGGAGGCAGCAGUGGGGAAUAUUGCACAAUGGGCGGAAGCCUGAUGCAGCAACGCCGCGUGCGGGAUGACGGCCUUCGGGUUGUAAACCGCUUUCGCCUGUGACGAAGCGUGAGUGACGGUAAUGGGUAAAGAAGCACCGGCUAACUACGUGCCAGCAGCCGCGGUGAUACGUAGGGUGCGAGCGUUGUCCGGAUUUAUUGGGCGUAAAGGGCUCGUAGGUGGUUGAUCGCGUCGGAAGUGUAAUCUUGGGGCUUAACCCUGAGCGUGCUUUCGAUACGGGUUGACUUGAGGAAGGUAGGGGAGAAUGGAAUUCCUGGUGGAGCGGUGGAAUGCGCAGAUAUCAGGAGGAACACCAGUGGCGAAGGCGGUUCUCUGGGCCUUUCCUGACGCUGAGGAGCGAAAGCGUGGGGAGCGAACAGGCUUAGAUACCCUGGUAGUCCACGCUGUAAACGGUGGGUACUAGGUGUGGGGUCCAUUCCACGGGUUCCGUGCCGUAGCUAACGCUUUAAGUACCCCGCCUGGGGAGUACGGCCGCAAGGCUAAAACUCAAAGGAAUUGACGGGGCCCCGCACAAGCGGCGGAGCAUGCGGAUUAAUUCGAUGCAACGCGUAGAACCUUACCUGGGUUUGACAUGGAUCGGGAGCGCUCAGAGAUGGGUGUGCCUCUUUUGGGGUCGGUUCACAGGUGGUGCAUGGCUGUCGUCAGCUCGUGUCGUGAGAUGUUGGGUUAAGUCCCGCAACGAGCGCAACCCUUGUUCACUGUUGCCAGCACGUUAUGGUGGGGACUCAGUGGAGACCGCCGGGGUCAACUCGGAGGAAGGUGGGGAUGACGUCAAGUCAUCAUGCCCCUUAUGUCCAGGGCUUCACGCAUGCUACAAUGGCUGGUACAGAGAGUGGCGAGCCUGUGAGGGUGAGCGAAUCUCGGAAAGCCGGUCUCAGUUCGGAUUGGGGUCUGCAACUCGACCUCAUGAAGUCGGAGUCGCUAGUAAUCGCAGAUCAGCAACGCUGCGGUGAAUACGUUCCCGGG
Molecule: ribosomal RNA, 1343 nt
Filed under: uncultured bacterium
Lineage: Bacteria
Description: 16S ribosomal RNA
Rfam family: Bacterial small subunit ribosomal RNA
Source: RNAcentral